GACGAACGCUGGCGGCGUGCUUAACACAUGCAAGUCGAACGAAGUGGCGAACGGGUGAGUAACGCGUAAUCAACCUGCCCUUCAGAGGGGGACAACAGUUGGAAACGACUGCUAAUACCGCAUACUGCUGGUGGGUCUUGCGUCUGAUUAGCUAGUUGGAGGGGUCACGGCCCACCAAGGCGAUGCACAGUAGCCGGGAUGGGAGGUGGAACGGCCACCAUGGGACUGAGACACGGCCCAGACUCCUACGGGAGGCAGCAGUGGGGAAACUUCCGCAAUGGACGAAAGUCGGACGGAGCAACGCCGGGGGAGUGAUGACGGCCUUCGGGUUGUAAAGCUCUUUUAAUCGGGACGCGGUACCGGAAGAGAAAGCCACGGCUAACUACGUGCCAGCAGCCGCGGUAAUAG
Molecule: ribosomal RNA, 408 nt
Filed under: uncultured bacterium
Lineage: Bacteria
Description: partial 16S ribosomal RNA
Rfam family: Bacterial small subunit ribosomal RNA
Source: RNAcentral